UUUGAAAUUUAUUAAUUUCAAAGUAGAUUUCAUAUUAUAGUCUUUUUAAGCUUAUAAAAUGGGAAAUGAGGGAUAUAAAUGUAUUGUUAAAAAUUGUAAUGAUAAAACCUCCAAAAUUAAUAAAACAAUAAAAUUUCAUUAAAUUCCAAAGAAUAAAAAAAUGUGUACGAUUUGGCUAAAAAACUGCAAUCGCGUAGACUUGAGUGUUAAAAGUCCUCUGAGCCUAAGUAAGACAUUCAGAGUAUGUGGCACUCGUUUUGAGAAGAAAAUGUACUUCACUGAAAAACUUUUGUUACAUAGUGCUGUACCCACUAUAUUUUCAACAGCAACAACAAGUCCAAUUGCAUCGACUAGUACGACGACAUCUAGUACUUUAUGCCUUAUUGGCUUUGGUUCUUAUUUUAACUCAAUUUUUAUUGUACCUUAUUCAACCUGGUACAACUGCAACAAAAUCGGAGACAUUUCUCCGGAGACUGCCUAGAGAGCAGGUAAAUAAAACUAUCAAUACAAUAUUAUUAUCUUUUUGACGAUCAUUGAAAUCGUUGAAUUAAUUUUUAUAUUUGUUCUGCUUGACUAUGUCAUCUGUAGAGAGCGAUAUUUGCUUCAUGCGUAUUAGGCCGACGUUGUACUUUUUAGUACAAAAUUUCCAAUCGGAAAUCGUUUAAGUAACUACUGGCCUAUGAAAUGUUGAAUACACUGUAUAAUGCGUGGCUUUAUACAAAUAAAAACAACUCGAACUUUAAAUUAUUGUACUUACGAUUACUGUUAUCAAAGUCUGUUGCCAAUAUAACAUACAUAGAAUUCUUCACUCGUUAUUUGGAUAGCCGAAAGUUUUCCAUGACGAUUUCCAUUUUAAAAUGUUGCUAUU
Adelges cooleyi (spruce gall adelgid) is the source of this 868-nucleotide long non-coding RNA. RefSeq lists it as uncharacterized. The transcript has 3 exons. The record is from RefSeq and is a predicted model, not a curated record. NCBI's taxonomy places the organism in Eukaryota, Metazoa, Arthropoda, Insecta, Hemiptera, Adelgidae.